UAAUCACACGGAUCUCAGCAUCCCAAUUUUAAACUGCCCUACACCCAAUCAACAUCCUCAACACCUGUUCCUUAAACCCUAAACCCCUUUUUUCUGUCUUUUUCUUUUUUCACUUCACUUCACUCCCUUCAAAAUAUCCAAAAAUCUUAACUUUUCACACUUAAAAUGGCUUGGCGCAGUUCAGGAUCGCUUUCGCGUACGCUCAUGUCCGCCGCCAGGGCUCCGUCCCGUAUCUCUUCGUCGCCGCUUCCCCGCAUCCGUCCACCGGCCACUGCCUCUCCUCGGCUUCAGUCCCGCCGCGUCUCCUUUGGUCCUUCCAGGAACUUGGGAGAAUUGGGAUGUUUGCAAUCAUUCUUGCCUCUGCAUAGCAUGGCCGGCACAAAUCUCCUCACAUCACGUCUCAAUGCUAACUUGCGGGCUUUUUGCGAGCUGUCUCACGGUACCUUCUACCGUACUUGUCAAGAUCGCUAGUAGUCUCUUUGGAGGAAUGGAAAAGACGGGUGAUGCAGAUGGACUUUCAGUCAGCUAAAGGUGCAAGAUUGUUGCCAACAUUGUACUUAAAGAGCCAUUGGAUCUGUGCAGCAGCAUGCAACAGUAGAUUGAGGAAGUCAGAGUGGAUAUAUCCUGUGGGAUAGACUUUUUAGGCAGGAAUAUUUUAAUAAAGAAUUCAUGUAUUAAAGAGUUUAAUAUUGAAAUUGUAUUACUUUUUGUGGGCACUUAUAUGUUACUUGCAAUUGUGUCCUGUUCUAUUUCCUUUAUUUCUGACUAGUAUCUGUAAGAUUAUGUUGAUGUUAACCUAUCAGUUACUGGGAUUCUGCA
This is an RNA transcript of Jatropha curcas, 819 nucleotides long. RefSeq lists it as uncharacterized. NCBI's taxonomy places the organism in Eukaryota, Viridiplantae, Streptophyta, Magnoliopsida, Malpighiales, Euphorbiaceae. The record is from RefSeq and is a predicted model, not a curated record.